CUCUUUCUGAUUGAGUGUAAGCUGCUAUAUGAAAGGAUCCACAAGAUGAAUAAUUAAAGGGGACCUCUGAUCAACAGCCAGCAAGGAACUGAAUCCCUCAGACCCACAACUCACAAGAAACUGAAGUUGAAGCAGAUUCUACCUCAGUCAAGCUUCAGGUGCCCAGCUGGAUUGGUAGAGGAGACCAACCACACCCUCUGCAGCACAGCACCUGGAGAGGAACUGCUGCCAUGACCAUAGAGGACACCCUCUGGAUACAAUGCCAGACUUGAUGUGGGACUGACCAACCUAUGGACCCCAGGCACCACCACCCAGACCUGCUCAGCACCUGAAACUUUUCUAUCUCCUCUUCACUCUUGAUGUAGACAUAUCUUCAAGUCAUCUUCUCCAGGCGACACGAGCCUUAAGAGCAUCUUUGUACCCAUCAGGAACGAGUACACAGAGGCUGUGCAACCCUGGAGGCUGCAACCUUUUAUGAAAAAUAAGCUCUCCAUUCCAAAUUUACAAACCUCAUCAUUCUUCAGUUGACAACACUGAGGCUGCUACCUCCCCUGUGGCUGGGAGCAAGAUGAGCCCCAGAUGUGUUUCCAAGUGAGUCUGAUUGGGACAGGAGCCGACGUGGGACUUGGAGGCUGGAGAUGGGAGCAGCAUUCACAGCCAUGGAGAGAGAACUGUUCACUGCUACCAUCCACACUUCCGGGCCCCUUCAGCAGCAGGGUGACAAGGAAGAGGGAAAUCGACUUGGAAAAGAGGGGACCUCUGACCCAAGAGUUUGGUCAAUGCAUAUGUUGGCAGCCAACUGCACAUAGCACCAAAUACGAACUUCAAAUAGAAGAAAGCCGCAUUUGGAAGAAAGCUCAUGCACAGACUGUAAAUAUUUCAGAGCAGAUUGUGUCUCUGUAGAUUAAGUAAGUUGUGAAAGUCUGAACCUCUGCCAAAAUGUUAAGACCUUGACCUUUACAUCUCUGAGUUUCUAUCUGUCAUUUUUCC
This 990-nucleotide long non-coding RNA is filed under the name Pan troglodytes (chimpanzee). Its description in RNAcentral is "long non-coding RNA NONPTRT007677". Lineage: Eukaryota; Metazoa; Chordata; Mammalia; Primates; Hominidae. The record is from RNAcentral.